GAGUUUGAUCCUGGCUCAGGAUGAACGCUGGCGGCGUGCUUAACACAUGCAAGUCGAACGGGGAUGCUUAUGGAAGGGGUGCUUGCACUCUGGAAGUAAGGAUCUUAGUGGCGGACGGGUGAGUAACGCGUGGGUAACCUGCCCCAUACCGGGGGAUACCACCUGGAAACAGGUGCUAAUACCGCAUAAGCGCACGGGAGCGCAUGCUCCUGUGUGAAAAACUCCGGUGGUAUGGGAUGGACCCGCGUCUGAUUAGCCAGUUGGCAGGGUAACGGCCUACCAAAGCGACGAUCAGUAGCCGGCCUGAGAGGGUGGACGGCCACAUUGGGACUGAGACACGGCCCAAACUCCUACGGGAGGCAGCAGUGGGGAAUAUUGCACAAUGGGGGAAACCCUGAUGCAGCGACGCCGCGUGAGAGAGGAAGUAUUUCGGUAUGAAAGCU
This 443-nucleotide ribosomal RNA is filed under the name uncultured bacterium. RNAcentral's name for it is "bacterial SSU rRNA". It matches the Rfam family "Bacterial small subunit ribosomal RNA", at positions 9 to 432 of the family's 1533-position model. The record is from RNAcentral.